ACCUGCCUGGGCGACCGUGACCCUGGUGGAGUCUGGGGGUGACCUCAAGGCCCCGGGAGAGUCCCUGCGGCUCCUCUGCCGCGCCUCUGGCUUCACCUUCGGCAGCUACGCCAUGGAGUGGGUGCGCCAGAGCCCCGGGAAGGGGCUGGAAUAUGUUGCUGGGAUCAACAGCAAUGGUGGCAGCACCUGGUACGCGCCGUCGGUGCGGGGCCGGUUCAGCAUCCCCAGGGACAACGGGCAGAGCUCGGUGACGCUGCAGAUGAACAACCUCAGGGACGAGGAUUCCAACACCUAUUUCUGUGCCAAAGAUGCUGGUGCUGGUGGUGCUGUUGAAG
Neopelma chrysocephalum (saffron-crested tyrant-manakin) is the source of this 335-nucleotide non-coding RNA. Lineage: Eukaryota; Metazoa; Chordata; Aves; Passeriformes; Pipridae. The record is from the annotation of a RefSeq genome assembly.